AAAUUGAUACAGAUAAGUUAAGUUACAAAAUCCUCAACACUUUCAUCUUAACGUUCUAAAUAUGAGAAAUAUGUGCAAAAUGUCGAGGAAAGUUUGAAGAAAGUAAA
This is a long non-coding RNA of Apis dorsata (giant honeybee), 107 nucleotides long. RefSeq lists it as uncharacterized. Lineage: Eukaryota; Metazoa; Arthropoda; Insecta; Hymenoptera; Apidae. The transcript is spliced from 2 exons. The record is from RefSeq and is a predicted model, not a curated record.